CUUCAACCGUGGCGGUGAUUGAGCGGCCACAUUGCGGCCGGAUUAAGACUGCAACAACCUGAGUGAUGAAACAACGUUAUCUUUAAAGAUCUUAAGGGAGUACCAGCGCACUGAAUCAAUAUUAAGAUCAUUCAUAGACACAAUUCGUGAGCAGGUGGUAUUCUACAAAUCCUGCAGUCUGAUGGGUUCCAAGAGUGGGCAGUAUUCUCCCCAUUCAGCCCACUCACAGCAGUGAAAUGAUGUUCAAGAGGCAAAGGCAAUUGUUCCACAGAUUGAAAAGAGACAGUGUAUUCUUCAGGGAGAAUCAGAUUCAAUGAAAAUCAAAAAAAUUUGGUAGAGCGUCUGUCAAGAAAGGGAAACCAGCCCCCUAACAUCAAUGGACACAACACAAGAAUGAAAGAACAAGCAGAAACGCCAAGCUUUCCAACAGACGUGGGACCUGCAGCCGAGACACAUGCUUUCACCUGGAAAUCUCUCUCGCUAUACGAUUGAGAGCUCUCUGCGAAGACCAUUUGCUGGAACCUUGAUCCGCGCCUCAUAGAUGUUAUGACAUGGGAGCCAUAUUUAUCUAGGAAAGUACGAUAUGCUCUCCAAGAAUUGUGAGACCAAGGCUUUUCAAUUUUUAAUGGCAGGUUUUCUAAAUAGUCCAGAAAACCUCCAUCGAGGGUGGAUUUUUUGGCAUUCACAAGGCAUUCUUUAUUGACGUAAAUCUUUUCUGUCAACGCCUCCUUGAUCAAAGAUAUGCCACUCACUUCUGUUUUCAAUGAACUUUUGCUCUUUGUUGCCACUGAUACAGUAGCGCUCAAAGUAAACGUCGAGGUUAACGAGGCGCUCAGGCUUGACUCGGUGGCCAGUGACUUAUACAAUUCCUUGGUACUUUUAUAGUAAUCGAAUUUGCUGCUUGAGGACUUCAAGGGUUUCUUGGUGAAGCAUUCUGAUGGUAGAGGUUCAUAGAUGCGAUUCUCUUUUUCAUGAAAGUCGGCCAAUAAGUUUAUCUUCGGAAGGUAAACCACCUUUCCGAGUCCCUCUGAUUCACUAUCGGUAGCUUGACUGGCUUCAGGAAUUGCGAGGGUCACGCAAAGCAACAGUAGCAGGGAGACAAACAUGAUUUCCUGCAUAAAGAGUGUCUCUACCUUGAUGCUUGUGAUAAGGCACGAAAUCUGUGAAACGAAGACAGAUUUAAAUUAAUUAACUGA
This is a non-coding RNA of Pocillopora verrucosa, 1196 nucleotides long. The record is from RefSeq and is a predicted model, not a curated record. NCBI's taxonomy places the organism in Eukaryota, Metazoa, Cnidaria, Anthozoa, Scleractinia, Pocilloporidae.